Molecule: ribosomal RNA, 48 nt
Filed under: Sinocyclocheilus rhinocerous
Lineage: Eukaryota; Metazoa; Chordata; Actinopteri; Cypriniformes; Cyprinidae
Source: RNAcentral
ACUCUGUCUGCGCCCGAUCUUGUCUGAUCUUGGAAGCUAAGCAGGGUC